CCUACGGGUGGCAGCAGUGGGGAAUAUUGGGCAAUGGAGGAAACUCUGACCCAGCAACGCCGCGUGAAGGAUGAAGGUUUUCGGAUUGUAAACUUCUGUCGCGAGGGAUGAAGAAUGACGGUACUGCGUAAGAAAGCCCCGGCAAACUACGUGCCAGCAGCCGCGGUAAUACGUAGGUGGCAAGCUUUAUCCGGAUUUACUGGGUGUAAAGGGCGUGUAGUCGGGAGGGCAAGUCAGAGGUGAAAACUAUGGGCUCAACCCAUAGCCUGCAUGUGAACAUGUACUGCUUGAGUGCUGGAUAGGCAAGCGGAAUUCCGUGUGUAGCGGUGAAAUGCGUAGAUAUACGGAGGAACCCCAGUGGCGAAGGCGGAUUGCUGGACAGUAACUGACGCUGAGGCGCGAAAGCGUGGGUAGCAAACAGGAUUAGAUACCCGGGUAGUA
This 441-nucleotide ribosomal RNA is filed under the name uncultured bacterium. Its description in RNAcentral is "partial 16S ribosomal RNA". It matches the Rfam family "Bacterial small subunit ribosomal RNA", at positions 338 to 795 of the family's 1533-position model. The record is from RNAcentral.